UGGACGAGUAAUUUUUUCUUUUUU
RNAcentral lists this non-coding RNA (24 nucleotides) under Cricetulus griseus (Chinese hamster). Lineage: Eukaryota; Metazoa; Chordata; Mammalia; Rodentia; Cricetidae. The record is from RNAcentral.